Molecule: unclassified non-coding RNA, 391 nt
Filed under: soil metagenome
Description: partial contains 5.8S ribosomal RNA, internal transcribed spacer 2, and large subunit ribosomal RNA
Rfam family: 5.8S ribosomal RNA (bases 1-122)
Source: RNAcentral
GAUGAAGAACGCAGCGAAAUGCGAUACUUGGUGUGAAUUGCAGAAUCCCGUGAACCAUCGAGUCUUUGAACGCAAGUUGCGCCCGAAGCCACUAGGCCGAGGGCACGCCUGCCUGGGCGUCACACGCCGUUGCCCCCCCAUCUACUCCUUCGGGAUUGCGGGGGGGCGGAUGAUGGCCUCCCGUGCGCCUAGCCGCGCGGUUGGCAUAAAUACCAAGUCCUCGGCGACGCACGCCACGACAAUCGGUGGUUGCGAAACCUCGGUUGCCCGUCGUGUGCGUUCGUCGCGCAUCGAGGGCUCGAAAAAAUGCUCGGCUCCGGCUGGGCUUUCAACGCGACCCCAUGUCAGGCGGGGUUACCCGCUGAAUUUAAGCAUAUCAAUAAGCGGAGGA